CCUACGGGAGGCAGCAGUGGGGAAUAUUGGACAAUGGGCGCAAGCCUGAUCCAGCAAUGCCGCGUGAGUGAUGAAGGCCUUAGGGUCGUAAAGCUCUUUUACCAGGGAUGAUAAUGACAGUACCUGGAGAAUAAGCUCCGGCUAACUCCGUGCCAGCAGCCGCGGUAAUACGGAGGGAGCUAGCGUUGUUCGGAAUUACUGGGCGUAAAGCGUACGUAGGCGGUUAUUCAAGUCAGAGGUGAAAGCCCGGGGCUCAACCCCGGAACGGCCUUUGAAACUAGGUAGCUAGAAUCUUGGAGAGGUCAGUGGAAUUCCGAGUGUAGAGGUGAAAUUCGUAGAUAUUCGGAAGAACACCAGUGGCGAAGGCGACUGACUGGACAAGUAUUGACGCUGAGGUACGAAAGCGUGGGGAGCAAACAGGAUUAGAUACCCUGGUAGUCCACGCCGUAAACGAUGAUAACUAGCUGUUCGGGCACUUGGUGCUUGAGUGGCGCNGCUACGCAUUAAGUUAUCCGUCCGUCGGGAGGUACGGUCGCGAGAAGUUAAACUAACAAAGAAGUUAGUACGGACGUGAGACGUGCCGAACGGACGACGACGAGGGAGUAGG
This 607-nucleotide ribosomal RNA is filed under the name uncultured bacterium. Its description in RNAcentral is "bacterial SSU rRNA". The stretch from base 1 to 517 matches the Rfam family "Bacterial small subunit ribosomal RNA", at positions 338 to 873 of the family's 1533-position model. The record is from RNAcentral.